Molecule: ribosomal RNA, 512 nt
Filed under: uncultured bacterium
Lineage: Bacteria
Description: bacterial SSU rRNA
Rfam family: Bacterial small subunit ribosomal RNA
Source: RNAcentral
GACGAACGCUGGCGGCGUGCUUAACACAUGCAAGUGGAGCGACGAACCAGGGCUUGCCCUGGGGCAAAGCCGCGAACGGGUGAGUAACACGUGGGUAACCUGCCCCGAUGACCGGGACAACCCGAGGAAACUCGGGCUAAUACCGGAUGAGCUCAUGCCACACGAGUGACAUGAGGAAAGGAAGCUUCGGCCUCCGCAUUGGGAUGGGCCCGCGGCCCAUUAGCUUGUUGGUGGGGUAACGGCCCACCAAGGCGACGAUGGGUAGCUGGUCUGAGAGGACGAUCAGCCACACUGGGACUGAGACACGGCCCAGACUCCUACGGGAGGCAGCAGUGGGGAAUCUUGCGCAAUGCGCGAAAGCGUGACGCAGCAACGCCGCGUGCGGGAAGACGGCCUUCGGGUUGUAAACCGCUUUCAGUUGGGACGAAGCUUCGCCGGUGAAUAGCCGGCCGGAGUGACGGUACCUUCACAAGAAGCCCCGGCUAACUACGUGCCAGCAGCCGCCGUAAUAC